RNAcentral lists this long non-coding RNA (404 nucleotides) under Mytilus galloprovincialis (Mediterranean mussel). The record is from RNAcentral. Lineage: Eukaryota; Metazoa; Mollusca; Bivalvia; Mytilida; Mytilidae.
UUUAAGGGAGUUCGCUUCUCAGUUUCAAAGUAAUUAACUUUUCAAAGCACUAGUUUAUAUUGAUAGGGGAUUGAUAAAGGAAUCCAAAGAGCAAAAACAAAUAUAUAGGUCACCGUGCUUGUUUUCGAGAUAUGAGCCAUUGAAAUUUUGGCGGGAAAAAAUUCUCUCUUGACUUUUCAUAGCUUUAUCAUUGACAAGUUGAAGUUCUCAAAAACUGUUAAAAAGUAAUUAAAAUUUUAUAAGACUUUUACAGAUGGCUUAUCAUUAUACAUGUAAAAGAUUUUCAAAAACAAAAAUGGGGGUCACCGGGCAAAUUUUUUCAAGGCAUUCAAAUGGAUAAAACCAGAGGAUUCCGAAAAUCUGACAAAAAAUCCAAAAAAUGACAAGCCAGCUUCCUUAAAGAA